CAGCCUCCCAAAUGCUGAGUUUACAGCUGUGUGGUGCCACACCCAGCAACUUUAUGUAAUUUCUUUUAACUAUUAAUAGAUACUUAUUGUCAGUAAUGCUUUGCAACCGUGUUGUACAAUUUUACCAUUUGUUUAAUUGUUUUAUCUUUUUCUCUUUUUUUUUUUGGUACUGGGGAUCGAACUCGAACUCGGGACCUUGCGCUUUUGAGGAAGGUGCCAGAACCACUGAGCUAAAUCCCUGGCCCCUAAUUGUUUUAUCUUUUUGGUAGGUAGAUUACAAUGAAUCAUUUUUUGGUUACUGAUCAGGUCACUUUUUUCAUUUUUUUUUUUUUUCCACUUACAGAUUGUUUUAUCCUCAGCUUCUGGGUUGUUUUUUUUUUGUUUUUUGGGGGGUUUUUUGCUUUUUUUUCUAUGGAGAUACUAGUUUUUUCGUAUUAAUUCUUAAGGCUCUUUAUGGACAGUGGACCCUCAAGUUAUGACCGGCAUGACACAACUUAGGUUAUGGUCAGAAUAUUUGAAAAUAUUAAGUCUUCAGCAUAUUUUGUCCAUCUACCCCUUUUUUUCCUUGAUGCUGGGGAUUGACUCAAGGGCUUUGUACAUGCUAGGCACCAUGCUCUACCAUCACCCCUACUUCUGCAGAUCAUAGUGCAUCCUUCUCCACCUUAUUCACUGCAUCUAGCACCGUGUGACUUCUGCCUCUUCCCCAAAAUCAAAGUGACUAUGAAAGGUAAACAUUUUGAAUCCAUUCAGGACAUUGAUGCAAAAGUUUAGUAUCCAACAGGGUAACUAAAGACAUUCAGGAAAGAGGACUUACAGAACUGCUUCAGAAAGUGGCAAGAAACAUGGGAUCAGUGUGUUUGAAAUGAGGGAAUGUUCUUUGAGGGGGAUUAAUGGCACUGUAUCUUAGACUGUAAUAAAUAUUAAACAUUCUCUGUAUUUUUCAAUCACACAUCAAAUUAAUUCUAAGUGUAACAGUCUUCACAGUUAAAGUGAUAAUAGAUGAAGAAUUUUAAUUUUUGUUAGAAAAAAUAACCAGUUUUAGUUAGUGUACCUCAGUUCAUGAACUUCAAUCAUUCCACAAGUCUGAAAAAGAUGGCCACAUUCAUGUUCGUGCAGGAAAGAUGGCGGUAAUUGUGUUUGUCACUCAGUGCAGAGUUUGAAAACAAAAACAAAAUCUUGCCAAACACUUCUGUUUACAAACCAAAUUGCUUGCAAAUGAAAGCCUUUAUGAACCGAGGUACCACUGUACAAGACAUUGCUUAACCGUUUGUCAUCUCUUACCCAUUUGUUGUUCAUCCUUUAGGUUAGAGGUGAAGCGUCUGCACACUGCUAAGUUUUAUAAUCAGAUCACACAUCUCUUUUCUCACUUUGUACAUGAGGGAGUUCAGGG
This 1390-nucleotide long non-coding RNA is filed under the name Heterocephalus glaber (naked mole-rat). RNAcentral's name for it is "lncRNA (ENSHGLG00000049354.1)". The record is from RNAcentral. Lineage: Eukaryota; Metazoa; Chordata; Mammalia; Rodentia; Bathyergidae.